Molecule: ribosomal RNA, 467 nt
Filed under: uncultured bacterium
Lineage: Bacteria
Description: partial 16S ribosomal RNA
Rfam family: Bacterial small subunit ribosomal RNA
Source: RNAcentral
ACGAACGCUGGCGGCGUGCUUAACACCUGCAAGUCGAACGGAAAGGCCCUGCUUUUGUGGGGUGCUCGAGUGGCGAACGGGUGAGUAACACGUGAGUAACCUGCCCUUGACUUUGGGAUAACUUCAGGAAACUGGGGCUAAUACCGGAUAGGAGCUCCUGCUGCCUGGUGGGGGUUGGAAAGUUUCGGCGGUUGGGGAUGGACUCGCGGCUUAUCAGCUUGUUGGUGGGGUAGUGGCUUACCAAGGCUUUGACGGGUAGCCGGCCUGAGAGGGUGACCGGCCACAUUGGGACUGAGAUACGGCCCAGACUCCUACGGGAGGCAGCAGUGGGGAAUAUUGCACAAUGGGCGGAAGCCUGAUGCAGCGACGCCGCGUGCGGGAUGACGGCCUUCGGGUUGUAAACCGCUUUCGCCUGUGACGAAGCGUGAGUGACGGUAAUGGGUAAAGAAGCACCGGCUAACUACGUG